RNAcentral lists this long non-coding RNA (1339 nucleotides) under Pogona vitticeps (central bearded dragon). RNAcentral describes it as "lncRNA (ENSPVIG00000000791.1)". Lineage: Eukaryota; Metazoa; Chordata; Lepidosauria; Squamata; Agamidae. The record is from RNAcentral.
AUAAUUUAAACCAGCAAGCUGAAAUGUAAAUUUAACUGAGAAGGCAUAAAGUGGCUUUUGCUUGAGACUGGUAACAUUCAUUUACCAAUGUUGCCUUUGAUUUCUAAACAAAUACUCAACCAUUUGCUACACCAGACAUAGGGAGACUUUGCUCCCCCUUCCCCAUUAUUUUGGACUUCAGUUCUGACAAACCGCAGACAUCAUGGCCAAUUGUAAGAGAUGAUUGAGUUCUCAUCCCAAAUAUCUUGAGGACUACACAUUUUCUUGAUGUGUACCUAAAACUUUAAAAUGAAGCUGCUUAAUUUGCAUCCACAAAUUAAGCAACCUUAAUUUGUGGAUGCACUGAGGAGGAAUAGUUUGGGUUGUUUGAAUGUGUAUGAUAGUUUUCCAUGGACUGUUCUCCCACUCUUUCUUUUGGUGGGUGAUAUUAGUGUUGGAAACAUAAGAACUUGGAUGGAAGAAAAGAAAUAAGCUGUAAGUGGAGCUUUCAGCUAUUAUCAGCCAAAUGAGAAAAUGACAGUGGCCUGAAGUACAGAUUAUUAUAUUUGUAAAGAAAUUGUUAAAAGAGUAGGAAAUUGUCAGUUUAGACUAGAGGAUUUGGACCAAAUCCCUGCAAUCUGAGCUAAUUAUUUCUCCAGUGUUCCAUUUGCUCAAAGGCAGAACAAAACACAAGCACUCAUGUAGCAAUGUUAGUAGUUUAUUCAUAUAUUUAUUUCAUUACAUAAACAUAGACAACAACACUGGUUAUAGAAAAAUACCCUGUGUUUAAAUGGGGGGGGGGGAAUGUGGAUGAGGUUUAUGUAUAUAGCGAAUUCACAGAACAGAGAAACAGGAAGGGUGCUGCUCUGAAUGAAAUCCCUUGGCUUGUAUGUCCUCACCCUGGGCUUGCCAAACCCUGCAGUGUUUGAGUAGGCCUCUUCAGGAGCAGCAAUUAAAAAGAAAGAAAGAAAGAAAGAAGCUGUGCUUCUGUUAGACCUUUGCCUCUUCCAGUACAAACCACCCAAAAAAGGGGAAGGAAGACCCUUUGGGAAAGAGCCACUGCUGGAGCACAUAUAUUUAAUUCUUGCCAUCCCCAGGUUAGUCUUUCAAAGGACCCUAUUGAAACCUUAGACAACACUUGCCAGGCAGUGUCUACAAUUUAUAGACUAAGUAUGAAAAAUUAAAUUAAGUUUCUUAUAGUCCAAAAUCUGCCUUUCAAAAUGUGCAUUGCAUUAUCCUGGCAUUUCCUCCACUAAAUGCCAGAGUGCUGGGAUCUAUGUUCCGAUGUCCUUAAGUAUGACAAAUUAAAUUACGUUUCUUAUAGUCCAAAAUCCGCCUUUCAAAAUGUGCAUUACAUUAU